RNAcentral lists this ribosomal RNA (326 nucleotides) under uncultured eukaryote. Its description in RNAcentral is "partial 18S ribosomal RNA". It matches the Rfam family "Eukaryotic small subunit ribosomal RNA", at positions 1470 to 1796 of the family's 1831-position model. The record is from RNAcentral.
CCCUUAGAUGUCCUGGGCCGCACGCGCGCUACACUGAACGGAUCAGCGCGUUUUCCCUUCCCGAGAGGGACGGGUAACCUGCUGAACCCCGUUCGUGGUAGGGAUCGGGGCUUGCAAUUAUUCCCCGUGAACCAGGAAUGCCCAGUAAGUGCAAGUCAUAAGCUUGCGUUGAUUACGUCCCUGCCCUUUGUACACACCGCCCGUCGCUACUACCGAUUGAACGUUUUAGUGAGGUACUCGGACUGAGCCUCAGAAGAUUCACGUCUUUUGUGCUGCUCGGGAAGAUUCCCAAACCUGAGCGUUUAGAGGAAGUAAAANUCGUANCA